Molecule: RNA transcript, 1539 nt
Organism: Vigna radiata var. radiata (mung bean)
Lineage: Eukaryota; Viridiplantae; Streptophyta; Magnoliopsida; Fabales; Fabaceae
Gene name: cold-regulated 413 inner membrane protein 1, chloroplastic
Exons: 9
Source: RefSeq, a predicted model, not a curated record
UCUGGUCUAUCAUGUGAAGACGAAGUGGGUGAACCGAACCGAUCCAAAUUUUGGAACUAACCAUAGAAACGAACAAGGAAAGAAGAAACGUCAGCAAUGGCGAUGGCAAUGCUUCUGUCUUCUCCAGCUUCAGCUUCACCGCCAACUGCACUCUCUCACCUCAACCGCCAGCAGCAAUCUUCAAUUUCAUUCAUUCAUCUACCUUCUCUCUCUCGCUCUUCACCGCCAUCGCUCUCACACACCUUCAAUCCCCUCAGGUCCUUCAUCGGUCACCACGGAAUCACAAGCUUCUCCAAAUCCAAUACCGGUAACCGAAACGCGGCGUUUCGCAUCCUUUGUUAUGCUCCCGCUCCUCUCACUACUUCCAAUCUCCAAUGGAUCUCUACCGUUUCGUCAAUUGUUUUGAUGUUGGCAAAAGGCACUGCGGUGCCGAAAUCGUAUAUUGUUCCGUUGUUUGCGUUGCAAGCACCUGCUGGUGUCGUUUCCUGGAUCAAAGGUAGAUAUGGUGUGUGGACGGCAUUCUUGGCACUUUUGAUUCGUCUAUUCUUCUAUAUUCCUGGUGAGCUUGAAUUGCCGUUUCUGGCAUUACUCUUGGUGAUGAUAGCUCCUUAUGAGGCUAUGAAAUUAAGGCACACCAAAGAAGGUGCCGUGGUUUCAUUGUUGAUUGCGGUGUAUUUGGCUUUCCAGCACUUCUCAAGAACAAGCUUACAGCAAUCAUUUGACCAAGGUGACGGGGUAUAGAUGAACUGAUGUGAUUCUUGGACUCACGUUCAUUCAACAAUUUUGUGAUGCACAUGAGCUACAGGUUUGGAAACUGUCAUCAUUUGUGCCUGAAGAUAAACUUCGAUCAUGUUUUCGAUUGGCAAAUUCUAUCUUCAAAAUUAAACGGCUCUUAAUAAUGAAAAGUUGGUUUUUGCGUGAAGGAGAAAAGCAAAGUAAAAUGCUAUUCCUUGUUAAUGUUACCUGAACCAUAGAAAAGACACAAGGAGAAUAACACGAAGUGGCAGCUUCUAGUACCCAUUACUGCAGAUUGGCUUGUGCUUUAGAUUGCGGGUGUUUCCUUGUUGUUCUGGGGAAAUGUUUACGUGCUAAGAUUUAUUAAACUAGGCCAGCACCUUGUCUGUUCCUGUGAAGAGGAAUUUGAUUACAUCUUUUUAUAUUUUAAAAAUGAGAAAAUGUUGAAGAAUCAUAGCUUUCUUGGAUCAAAGAGAGAAGGAAGAAUAUAAGCAAACUUGAGAAAGGAGACAUGGGAUAGUUGAAAUAAGCAAGCAAGAGAAGGUGCAAACAGAGGGGGGAAAAGGUGCAUGGCUAAGGAAAAAGGUGAAAGGGGUGAUCAGAUGCUUAAGAGGUUUGUAAUGAAGAAAGUUGUCUCCCUUCUAAGUACGAUUCCUUUCCUAAGAAACUCAAGCUAUUAUGCUGCUGCUUCUGCUGCCUUCUCCAACAAGAACUCUGAAUACUCUUGUCAUUCUUAAGCUUCCUUCUCUCAGCUAUGUUGCCUAUUCUAACCCAAUCAAAUUCUCUAUCGCAUAACUUCUAUUA